CCUACGGGAGGCAGCAGUGGGGAAUUUUGGACAAUGGGCGCAAGCCUGAUCCAGCAAUGCCGCGUGCAGGAUGAAGGCCUUCGGGUUGUAAACUGCUUUUGUACGGAACGAAACGGCUCUUUCUAAUAAAGAGAGCUAAUGACGGUACCGUAAGAAUAAGCACCGGCUAACUACGUGCCAGCAGCCGCGGUAAUACGUAGGGUGCGAGCGUUAAUCGGAAUUACUGGGCGUAAAGCGUGCGCAGGCGGUUAUAUAAGACAGAUGUGAAAUCCCCGGGCUCAACCUGGGACCUGCAUUUGUGACUGUAUAGCUAGAGUACGGUAGAGGGGGAUGGAAUUCCGCGUGUAGCAGUGAAAUGCGUAGAUAUGCGGAGGAACACCGAUGGCGAAGGCAAUCCCCUGGACCUGUACUGACGCUCAUGCACGAAAGCGUGGGGAGCAAACAGGAUUAGAUACCCUGGUAGUCCACGCCCUAAACGAUGUCAACUGGUUGUUGGGUCUUCACUGACUCAGUAACGAAGCUAACGCGUGAAGUUGACCGCCGUGGGGAGUAACGGCCGCAAGGUUGAAACUUCAAAUGAAUUGACGG
RNAcentral lists this ribosomal RNA (588 nucleotides) under uncultured bacterium. RNAcentral's name for it is "bacterial SSU rRNA". It matches the Rfam family "Bacterial small subunit ribosomal RNA", at positions 338 to 916 of the family's 1533-position model. The record is from RNAcentral.